This 549-nucleotide ribosomal RNA is filed under the name uncultured bacterium. RNAcentral's name for it is "partial 16S ribosomal RNA". The record is from RNAcentral.
GANUNUAUUUGAUCAUGGCUCAGAUUGACCGCUGGCUGCAAGCCCCCUAACACAUGCAAGUCGAGCGGCAGCACAAGUAAGUUUACUUAUGAGNGUGGCGAGCGGCGGACGGGUGAGUAAUGCCUAGGGAUCUGCCCAGUCGAGGGGGGUAACAGUUGGAAACGACUGCCUACAUACCNGCAUACUGCCCCUACGUGUGUGUGAAACUGAGGNGGUGACCCUUCGGUGACCUUCCUCGCCUGCACCUUUGGCACCUUGGAACCUUACUGUCGCUUGCUGCGCAACUUUUCACCGGCCUUACUGGCUUUGCGCCUCGGACAGUCGGUUGUNUUUCAGCAACCUUGUGGUCUGGGCCCGUCGUUUCCCGCUNAUAUACCCUCCCCCUCAAACCAAAGCGNGUCGGGCGACAACACUAGCUCGUGGUCGUAAAAACACCCUCGNGUGGNCNNAAAACACUUUUUUUCCCAACCCNACCCACAAUUUUUAAAACAAUGGACGAANACACCNCCGUUUUUUGUGNGUGGCGUGUUUUUAUUUUUUACCCCAGUG